This is a long non-coding RNA of Lycium ferocissimum, 4315 nucleotides long. RefSeq lists it as uncharacterized. Lineage: Eukaryota; Viridiplantae; Streptophyta; Magnoliopsida; Solanales; Solanaceae. The transcript has 11 exons. The record is from RefSeq and is a predicted model, not a curated record.
CAAACUAACUGGCUUCCACUUUUUCAUUCCAUUUCACAUUCCGGAACUUUCUUGUGCCAUCUCCCGGUCAAACAACAAAUGGAGGCUUGUGAAGCUCUGGGUCUCCAUCUCCAAACACACCGAAAAUUUCAUGUCUCGAACCCAACUUCUUUCUGAUAACAGCAAUGGAGAGGCCAAAAACAUCAUAUUUUUGUGAAGCUAUGGGUCUCUAUUAUUAUCGACGGACCAACGGACGGUGGGGGUUCAUCAUCUGAACCUUGGGUCAUGAAAAAUAAAGAAAUGCUUAUCUCUUUCACCCACUAGGGGUACAUCGGAAUUUGGACCUCUCAUCCUUGUUUCCAGUAGAUGAAGAUUCAAAUGUUCAAUCACAGUCGGACAUGAGCUCCAAUAUAUUUAUGUUUUAAUAUGUAACUACAAACAAAAAAAAAAAGAAGUCCAAUCAGAAGAGUAAAUUAUUAUGUGAAAAUGCAAUCAACAAAAGGUGUUGAAUCUAGGUUCUCUCUAGGAGUUUGUUUCUUAUAUCCAUGUCAGCUUCUCUAUCUGUUCUUACUCAUUUCUGGGGCUUAGGAGGACUCUCCUUUUUUUCUCUUCUUUAAUGUCUCUCUCCAAAUACCCUUGAGUAAUCAUUGAAGUGGAUUAUGCACCCAAGAUGUUUGAUCAUAUAUGCCUGACUCCUCUUAUUUGCAGUAAUGAAGUCCAUAGGUUUUGUUUUAGGUUUGCCGUGAACUCGCACGAAGGGCAGUGAUCUAGCUAUAAGAGAAAGUCAUAAUGAUCUUGAGGCUUGGUUGAAUUAGACUUGGAGGAAACAUUUGAGUAUUUUGCUGAAGUAGUUUGUAUGGAACGAGAAGGCUGAGUGGUAAGGAGUUGAAACUAAUAAACUUUUCGUGUUAUAUGAUAGCUGGUAAACUGAUCAGCUACCUCGUGUGUGUUUACUUUACAAAAAGAAUAGGCGGGCGGUGUAUUUUUGAGAUUUAUGAUGCUGGAGAUAGGUGGGGUAUAGGAUGGUUGGAUCAGGGAACAUAUUUUCUUUUGUUAAAAUGAUUUCUAAUGGGAAAAAAUUAUUUUAAGAUGUGUUUGGAUGAGUUCUGGCAAACCUCUACUAUCUUUUCUCAUUUUCCUAUCUCUCUUUUCUCUGGUAUUCUGCUUUGUUUGUUUGUAUUGUUUAAUUAUCCUCCGGGUUUUCUGUGUAUGUAAUGCAGCUAUAGAUACACUCUCCAAAAUUCACAUGCAUCCUGAUCGGCGAGAUAAAAUUAAAUAUGGAGGAAGAAAAUAUUUCUCAGUCCUGCUAAUUUUUCAAAUAUUCUAUCUUGGUGAGGAUAUAAACCAUUGGCUCUAUUAGUUUUGCAUUUAUACUUUAUUUUUCUUUUUAAUUCAAUGUAUAAGCAGUUUUUUCGUUUACAAGUAUAUGAUUUUUCCCCUUUUUAAUUUUUUAUGGGUAGAUUCUGAUUCAAGUAUAUGCGUGUUGUUUUUACUGUUUGAACGCUUCUACACUAGCCACAUCAGUUGCCAUCUUGGCAAAAAAAUCUAAUUAAAAGGGAAGAACUUUGUGCAGUUAAGGACGAUAUGCCUAACCCCAUAGGUGACUUUAACAUAAAUAUCUUUCCUUUUGCAAGGCCAUAACUUUUGAUACACAAAAAUAGGUUAUUUGAAAGAUGUUAUGCGGCAUAUCCUUUAUUGGGAAUCUAUUUGCAAAUUCAUUUGUAUCUAAAAGAAUGAAGCUUUUCAUGAAGAAAAUGAUUAUGGAUAAUUCUUUCAUGGUGUCCUACAUUUUGAUUUUGCUACAAUUAGUAAUGUUGCUUUGUCAAGAAUUCAUCAUUAGCUGAAAGUUCGUCCUAUCUCUGUCUGGUGAAUCUAUUUAAACAGUAAGGUAUACAUGAUUAAUUUCAUUGAUUUUUCUGCUUUAAUUUGAUAUCUAGCUCAGUAAAAAUGUGCAUCCGGACGAUCCUUCUAAUAUGUUUGUGAACUUAAUGGUGAUCAAAUGUAGUACUUUGAUAUUUGAACUCCUUGCUAGCUCUCUAUUUUCAUUGUAUAAAUGAAAUUUGGUUUUUCUGUUUUCGUAAUUUCCUGGUGAUAUGUGACUUCUAAAACUAGGUUGCUUUAUUAUUCGUUAACUCAUGAGAUGGAUUCAUUGACUCCCCCGCGUUGUUUAUGCGGCACCAAGGUCAUAGUAUGUUGACUAUGUUCUGUUGUCGCUCAAAGGCAUGUUCAUAUGAAGAGGUAAGAGAAUGAAAUUCUUGCUUCCCCAAUAGACUAUAAAAGUUUCUUUAGGUUACUUUAAUUGUAAUACUAAUGGACGUGAUAUUUCAUUUACUGAAAUUUCGAUAUUUAUAGUAUAUAAAAGGAGUGGAAAGUUCCUACUGGUUCGGGGCAUAUUGGUAUAUUAUUCAUGAGGAAAUGGCUGCAAGAAGACAACAACAUAACACGAGAGAACUUUGUCAUAAAGUAAAAGGAGUGGGAGGUUCCCACAGGUUCGGGGCCCAUUGGCAUAUUAUUCAUGAGGAAAUGGCUGCAAGAAGACAACAACGUAACACGAGAGAACUUUGAUGUUUAAGUAAUAAUAUACUCCUCUUUUCCAUUUUUCAGUGUAAUGAUUUCUUCUACAUUUAUUAUGUAUUACAUAUACUUCUGAUAUUGAGUUUUCUAUUAAAGAGUUCUAUAAAUGAAGAAUCUUUGAGUUCCAAAAUGCCUCUGGUAUGUGCAUUAUUUCAUUCAGUUCUGGUGAGUUUUUCUAUUGGUGCUUUUCUCAUUGCACCCGAUUAGCUAGUGGGAUUUUAGUGCGCAAUAAGUAGUUUCUCCGUACCUUUCGAUAGUUUCUUGUAAUUUUAAUUUCACACACAUGGCUACUGAUAUCCAGUUUGCAUACUGAUGCAUCGAGGGUGUUCGGUAAUAUACCUAAAUCAACUCUUUUUCAAUAGCUUUUCUCUUUUGACAGUUUUUCUAUACUCCAGCAAUUUGAAAGGUGACUUUCCGUUGUAAAUUGAGCCAUGAAAUGAUGAACUACCCUCUGCUGAUAGUAUACACUGUCAGUAAUCAAGACGGGAACAACAUUACUGACAAACCAAUCUUGGAGUAUACACUGUCAUCUCUUGGUCUAGAUUGUUUCUCUGCCUCUUCAAUGAGAAGAUCAGUUGGCGUUAUUACAGGAAUGCGCCACACCUUAAUUAAGUUUAACUGAAAGUGAGAGGCCCGGUCUACCAUCUGAAGUAAGUGCUUCCAUCACCAAUCUUAAAUGAAAUAUGGUGACUGAUGAAGUGUCGAACUGUAGCACCGGAGCAAAAGCUAUAUUGCAAGUUAAUGAUGAGGAAAAAUGGGGUUACAAUUGCUGACCGGGAAAAGUUGUCUUGAUCAAGCAACCCCGACGCAAUGUUCUUAGACGUAGUAGAAAUUCAAGAGAUGUGACGACAUUUGAUAUAUCAGGGGGCCUCUCACACUGAGAGAAGGCUUGACUUGCUGAUGAUUGUAGACGGGGACUAUGAACAUGCAGCAGAGGAUCAGAUGAUAAAGAAAGGCCAGAUAUGUUGUUAAUUGGCAAGACACCGACUACUCAGUAGUGGCAAUUUGGUGCAAGGAUAGACUAAAACUUAUGUUGUGUAUGAUUUGUGGUUUGGCAGGUAUGCAACAUGUGGUUUUCCAUAGCAAUGUCUAUGCUAAAGUACCAGAAACUUACUAGGAACACGGCUAUGAUUCUGCUCAAAUUUCCAUUGAUUCCUCAAAUCUCACUUCAGAGGCCACAUCUUCCUCUGCUUUUGUCUCUGUUGUCUUUCAUAAAGAAGGCACUAUUUAAUCACUAGCCAAAUCUGUCAAUCAAGCAGCUUCACUUUGUUCAAACUCUUCAGCUCCCAUAUGAGAAUCACGUUGAUGUUAUCUUUUAAGCAUGCAAAUAAAGCUCAUGCCUCCAGCUGGCAUGAAUUCUUCCAAAAAAAAAGAAGAGGAAAUGAUUUCCUAUUUAUCGGUUGUCUGUGUGCUAACUUCCUCGAAGUAGAUAACUUCCUCGAAGUAGAUGACUGGAGGUUAAUCGAAUGUUCCCCAUAUUCACAGAAGAGUUUGGAGCAGCUGAUGGGUUGUACUGUUUCUGUUCAUUUCGAGCUACAGAGAUACAAUUUGAGCUUUGUCGUAUUAUCUAUUUUUCUGUGUUGUUCCUUGCUUCUCGUGAGACGAAUAGAUGUCCUUUUGAUGCUAUAUUGAUUACCACAGUAAUUUCAUCUUAGAAAAGAAAAACUCAUGAUUGAGAAGCUUGAAGCUUGUAUUAUACAUUAGAAGUAUCAAGUUUGCAGUGGCACUUCAAUUUCGUAAAUUAGAAUUUGGAACUUGCAGU